Long non-coding RNA from Amphiprion ocellaris (clown anemonefish), 495 nucleotides. RefSeq lists it as uncharacterized. The transcript has 4 exons. Lineage: Eukaryota; Metazoa; Chordata; Actinopteri; Pomacentridae. The record is from RefSeq and is a predicted model, not a curated record.
UGAACUGUUUGAGGAAGGAGGAGAGGAAGAAGGUGGUGAAGAAGAGGAUGACAGACCAGAAGAGGACGUCGGGGACAUAUGGACCGUGGGGGCUGCAGGCCGAACCCAAGAACUUUCCUUUUAAAUCCAGACAGUCCUGAAGACGAUUGAAAACCCGGAUCCUGAUCUGUGCUCGAUGUGUUCUCUACAUAUCUCCUUCCACACGGAAAUUCCCUCCGUGCUGUUCACACCUUCACACUCAGCUGCUCCCACUCGAUGCUUUCUGACGUCAAGUUUCUGCUGCUCCAGAUCUGUUGGACUUCAGCCGAGGCAUUGGCAGGCGGAGAACACUGACACCUGAAAUAGAGCAACAACAGACCUCCCCGAGGUGUGCCAGCUUCUCCAGAGCCUCGUAGAUAAAGAUGAUGCAGAUGAGGGCAGCAAAGGCCUCCUCAGUGAAGCGGGUGAUGUAGCAGACCAGAGAGCUGGCGUCCGUGGCGACCAGCAGCAGGCAGA